This 874-nucleotide ribosomal RNA is filed under the name uncultured bacterium. RNAcentral's name for it is "bacterial SSU rRNA". It matches the Rfam family "Bacterial small subunit ribosomal RNA", at positions 569 to 1451 of the family's 1533-position model. The record is from RNAcentral.
GCGCAGGCGGGGGAUUAGGUCGGCGGUGAAAUAUCACGGGCUCAACCUUGAGAGUGCCGUCGAAACCGGUUUUCUUGAGUGCGGAUGAAGUAGGCGGAAUUUGUGGUGUAGCGGUGAAAUGCGUAGAUAUCACAAAGAACACCGAUUGCGGAGGCAGCUUACUAAACCGCAACUGACGCUCAUGCACGAAGGCGUGGGGAUCAAACAGGAUUAGAUACCCUGGUAGUCCACGCAGUAAACGAUGAUUACUAGCUGUUUGCGAUACAAUGUAAGCGGCUGAGCGAAAGCGUUAAGUAAUCCACCUGGGGAGUACGUUCGCAAGAAUGAAACUCAAAGGAAUUGACGGGGGCCCGCACAAGCGGAGGAACAUGCGGUUUAAUUCGAUGAUACGCGAGGAACCUUACCCGGGCUUGAAAUGCAUCUGACCGGGCCGGAAACGGUCUUUCCCAGCGAUGGGCAGAUGUGUAGGUGCUGCAUGGUUGUCGUCAGCUCGUGCCGUGAGGUGUCGGCUUAAGUGCCAUAACGAGCGCAACCCUCAUCGUCAGUUACCAUCGGGUAAAGCCGGGGACUCUGACGAGACUGCCAUCGUAAGAUGCGAGGAAGGUGGGGAUGACGUCAAAUCAGCACGGCCCUUAUGUCCGGGGCGACACACGUGUUACAAUGGGCGGUACAGCGGGGAGCUACCUGGCGACAGGGAGCCGAUCCCGAAAGCCGCUCACAGUUCGGAUCGGAGUCUGCAACUCGACUCCGUGAAGUCGGAUUCGCUAGUAAUCGCGCAUCAGCCACGGCGCGGUGAAUACGUUCCCGGGCCUUGUACACACCGCCCGUCAAGCCAUGGGAGUCGGGGGUACCUGAAGUUCGUAACCCUUCGGGG